Molecule: long non-coding RNA, 1135 nt
Organism: Lethenteron reissneri (Far Eastern brook lamprey)
Lineage: Eukaryota; Metazoa; Chordata; Hyperoartia; Petromyzontiformes; Petromyzontidae
Source: RefSeq, a predicted model, not a curated record
CAGGCUGGGAGCGCUGCACGGAAAACAAAUCAAGAUUCAACUCGGCAGGCACGCGUCAGUUUUAUCCCUCACGUUGUUGCGAUUAGCCAAGCAGAGGCAAGUGUUCCGCUAUGGCAGAUCGAGUACCCACAGAGAAGGUCAUCAUCAAGGGCAAGACGGUUGAAGUGGUUUCGGCGGGGAUGGAAAACAACCCCAAUGUUGCUCUGGAAAUAUGCAACCAAUCAAAAUACAAUCUUAAAAGAUUGAGGACAUAUCUGGUCUCCGGAAUGGCUGAAUAUCCACCACACCAAGAUAUACAAUCUGGAGAAAAGAGCGCUUGUGGCUUUUGCAAGCGUCUGUUUGGCAUGUUCGGGUGUUAUGGAUUGCUGUGCUAUUCCAUUCAGAACGAAAAUAAAGAACUGAACAUUAUGUUCUGCAAUCCAUAUGUUCCCGCAUUUUAUUACAGAAAAAUGGCCAUACAGCUAUACAACACCGACAGAGACACAAUACCGGACACAUUACUGACUGAGAUGUACAAUUGUAAGGAAACAUCGGAGUCUUUUCAAAAAGUGAAUGCUGGAGCUCCCAUUGCCACACUUAAAGACGAUGCAUUACAACUCAAAGUGACGGCCACAAUGAUGAAUGCCAAAUGUUCCAUCAUCCGUAUACAUCUGACGAAUAUGUAAACAGUUGUUAUCUCGUGGCUAAAACAGAAAAUAAGAGAAUAGACAAAGAAGACAGAUCAGGACCCCCUUGCAUUUGGCCGUUGUAUGUGGGGCCAUUAUUUAAGCGCCAAUAAAUGCACUUUGUUACAAAAUAAAAAAUAUUAUGUAAUCGUUGUCGUCACCAUCAUCACCACCACUUACGCCACCGUCACUUUCAUCAAUCUUUGUAUGUACGCUUCACCUGGGAAAAUUAUUCUUUGGCGGCUGCUUUAAAUUUCCACGUGAUGAUAAGCCAGAGUUGAGCUAUCGUUUGUGAUAGCCAGGUCGCUUCUGGAAAUAAAAUGCUCAGCUCAGUGGGACAUGCAUUCGUAAAUCGAAUGGUUCGUAAGUUCGAACACAAAAAUGGACUUUAUUUAAAUGCCCAUACUGUCAACAUUAUGAAAUGUGUUACGGUUCAACAAAAAAGGGAAGCAUUGUUAAAUUCAUUAAUA